CACGGUACAUGCACCAUUAUAUCAAAGCGGUCGUCAAACAGCAAAAGGUAACUGCUGUAAAUUGUUGAGAAAUUCCCUCGAGUGUUUAUGGGCUCCAUCAUCAAACCUGGUCCUGCGACACAGAUGAUCACACAGCGGGUAAUUGCUAUAAAUCGUUGAAAAGUUCCCUCGAAUAUCUUUCGUCUCCAUCAUUAGACUUUAAUGGCACUUGUAACUCAUACAGGUGCAAAGUUCUCAUCAAUAGAAACGAAUUAAGUUCAAACAGCCGGUAAUUGCUAUAAGUGGUUAAAGAGUACCCUCGACUAUCUUUCGUCUCCAUCAUCAGACUGAAAUGGCACUUAUAACUCAUAUAUAUGCAAAGUUCUCAUCAAUAGAAACGAAUUAAGUUCAAACAGCAGGUAAUUGCUAUAAAUCGUUGAAGAGUUCCCUCGACUAUCUUUCUUCUCCAUCAUCAGAUCAACUCCAGACCUUUAUUAAAUAGUAGUGCUUUAUAGUACUUAAUGAAAACAUGAUUAAAUUUACUAGUCACCCUUACGAUUUUUUAAAGUUUCCCUCGAUUUCUCUGGGAUCCCAUCAUUAGAUCCUGGUUUCCUUAUCAUGGUAUCAAACUAUGAAUAU
Molecule: unclassified non-coding RNA, 618 nt
Filed under: Melitaea cinxia (Glanville fritillary)
Lineage: Eukaryota; Metazoa; Arthropoda; Insecta; Lepidoptera; Nymphalidae
Description: misc RNA ENSMCXG00005002041.1
Source: RNAcentral